UCAUAUUCAGCUUGAUUCAGCCCAUUGAUCAAUGUACUCCUUGCUUUUCCAUUGGCAGCAACCUUUGAUAGCUCGUCCGCUGUGAGAACAUCAACGUCCUUGACUUUGCCAUCGCUAUCACGAUAUUCAUAAGGACCUCUUUGCACCACUCUUUGCAUUAGGGGAUCUCUGGAUAGAUGAGCCUCCAUUUGGCCUUUCCACCAAUUGUAGUUGUCAGAACCCGUGAGGAGAGGAGCUCUAAAAUCGGACUUUCCCUGAAAGUUAUCAGCCAUAUCGAUCGAUACUAUUCCUGUUACAGAAGUAUUAGUACAAACACAGCUCUGAUACCAAUUGAAAUUACACACCUAGAGGGGGGGUGAAUAGGUGUUAUGGCUAAUAUGACCGAUUUUUAAUGUUACCAAAUAUUUAUACUGUCACAGACAGCUUGCUGUUAAUUUCAGAGUAAACAGUCAGCUAGCUAACAAUGCAGAUGCAAUGCAAAACAGAUAUAAUCAGUAAGCUAGCAACACAGAGAAUUUUAGCCAGGUUCGACCCCUA
This 537-nucleotide long non-coding RNA is filed under the name Daucus carota (carrot). Its description in RNAcentral is "long non-coding RNA (DCAR_LNC003363)". Lineage: Eukaryota; Viridiplantae; Streptophyta; Magnoliopsida; Apiales; Apiaceae. The record is from RNAcentral.